CGCGGCCUAUCAGCUUGUUGGUGGGGUAAUGGCCUACCAAGGCGACGACGGGUAGCCGGCCUGAGAGGGCGACCGGCCACACUGGGACUGAGACACGGCCCAGACUCCUACGGGAGGCAGCAGUGGGGAAUAUUGCACAAUGGGCGGAAGCCUGAUGCAGCGACGCCGCGUGAGGGAUGACGGCCUUCGGGUUGUAAACCUCUUUCAGCACCGACGAAGCCUUUCGGGGUGACGGUAGGUGCAGAAGAAGCGCCGGCCAACCACGUGCCAGCAGCCGCGGUAAGACGUAGGGCGCGAGCGUUGUCCGGAUUUAUUGGGCGUAAAGAGCUCGUAGGCGGCUUGUCGCGUCGUCCGUGAAAACCUGCGGCUCAACUGCAGGCUUGCGGUCGAUACGGGCAGGCUGGAGUUCGGUAGGGGAGACUGGAAUUCCUGGUGUAGCGGUGAAAUGCGCAGAUAUCAGGAGGAACACCGGUGGCGAAGGCGGGUCUCUGGGCCGAUACUGACGCUGAGGAGCGAAAGCGUGGGGAGCGAACAGGAUUAGAUACCCUGGUAGUCCACGCUGUAAACGUUGGGCGCUAGGUGUGGGGGGCCUCUCCGGUUCUCUGUGCCGCAGCUAACGCAUUAAGCGCCCCGCCUGGGGAGUACGGA
Molecule: ribosomal RNA, 648 nt
Filed under: uncultured Actinoplanes sp.
Lineage: Bacteria; Bacillati; Actinomycetota; Actinomycetes; Micromonosporales; Micromonosporaceae
Description: bacterial SSU rRNA
Rfam family: Bacterial small subunit ribosomal RNA
Source: RNAcentral